RNAcentral lists this ribosomal RNA (458 nucleotides) under uncultured bacterium. RNAcentral's name for it is "partial 16S ribosomal RNA". It matches the Rfam family "Bacterial small subunit ribosomal RNA", at positions 28 to 523 of the family's 1533-position model. The record is from RNAcentral.
GAUGAACGCUGGCGGCGUGCCUAAUACAUGCAAGUCGAGCGGUAAGGCCCCUUCGGGGGUACACGAGCGGCGGACGGCUGAGUAACACGUAGGAACGUACCCCAAACUGAGGGAUAAGCACCGGAAACGGUGUCUAAUACCGCAUGUGCUCUUCGGAGUAAAGCUACGGCGGUUUGGGAACGGCCUGCGCAUGAUUAGCUAGUUGGUGAGGUAAUGGCUCACCAAGGCGACGAUCAUUAGCUGGUCUGAGAGGAUGAUCAGCCAGACUGGGACUGAGAACGGCCCAGACUCCUACGGGAGGCAGCAGUAGGGAAUUUUCCACAAUGGGGGCAACCCUGAUGGAGCAACGCCGCGUGCAGGAUGAAGGGUUUCGGCUCGUAAACUGCUUUUAUCUGUGACGAUUAUGACGGUAGCAGAUGAAUAAGGAUCGGCUAACUCCGUGCCAGCAGCCGCCGCCG